AAGUCGCUCCACUUUGCUUUUGCACCCACCGGUUUCAAAAACUCGCCCCCCAAAAUUCCUCCUCCUUCCUCUCGAAGGCGGCGAACCCCAUCGAUUCCUCUUCCUCCUCCGCCGCACGCGCCCCAAUCCGAUUCAACCGCCGGCGGCGGCGGCGGCGGCGGCGGUGGCGGCGAUGGAGGUCGGGGACCUGCACAAGGUGUGGGAGAUCCGCGCGCUCAAGAGAAAGCCCGACGAGCCCGCCGCCCGCGCGCUCCUCGACCGCGUCGCCAAGCAGGUCCAGCCCAUCAUGCGCCGCCGCAAGUGGCGCGUCAAGGUCCUCUCCGAGUUCUCGCCGAAGAACCCGAGGCUGCUGGGGCUCAACGUCGGCGGGGGAGUCGAGGUGAAGCUGCGGCUGCGGCACGCGGGACGGGACUACGACUUCAUCCCCUACGAGGAGGUGCUCGACACCAUGCUCCACGAGCUCUGCCACAUCGCGCGGGGCCCCCACGACGCGCAGUUCUACAAGCUCUGGGAUGAGCUCCGCAAGGAAUGUGAAGAACUUGUUUCCAAGGGUAUCACUGGAUCAGGCCAAGGAUUUGAUGGUACAGGUCGGCGGUUAGGUGGGUUUACAGUACACCCACCGCCACCAUCUUUAAGGCAAGCAACAUUAGCUGCAGCACAGAAACGGGCAAGGAAUGGAGCUCUUUUGCCAUCCGGUCCUAGAAAGCUUGGUGGAAAUAAUGAUAUUAUGAGUGCUCUUAGUCCAAUACAAGCCGCUGCAAUGGCUGCUGAAAGGAGAAUGUAUGACGAUUUGUGGUGUGGAUCGCACGAUCAAUCUGGCAUUGAUGAUUCAGAAGACGUUGUUAUUCUUGAGGAUACACCUAACUUGCCAACGCAGCUUGGGAAAAGCACAAAGGAUGGCUUUUCUAGCAGUUCUGAGAAUCCCAGCACAUCUUCGGGAUUUCCCACAGCAGCACAGAAUGGAUCCUCUUCUUGUAGGAUAACAACCGAUGCAGGAGAUAGUUCUCUAUGGGAGUGUGUUGCUUGCACACUUCUAAAUCAGCCUCUGGCACCAAUCUGUGAAGUUUGUAGCGCAGCUAAACCUAAAACCACGAAGGCCAAAUAUGCAACCUGGUCCUGUAAAUUCUGUACUCUAGAAAACAGUACUAAGAUUGACAAAUGUUCAGCAUGCGAUCAAUGGAGAUAUUCACAUGGACCACCUGCAGCCACAUAUUGUCCAAGCUAUGAUUGAUCUACAUUGAAGCUUGCAUUAAUAUGGACUACAGAAUUUUGGACAGCCAUCUGCUGAAUUGUGGAUACACAAAUUCGUUCCCAUCAGCAGUUCUAUCUGUUACCCCAUUGCACUUCUGCAUAACGAAUCAGAUGUGUAAUUUACUAUCUAAAGCAUUCCCUCUUUCGUGGAUCACAUCAUGUGUAUAGAGAGAACCACCUAUUGGAAACAUCUGACAUAUCCCAAGCUCCCUCUGGGAGCAGCUAACGCUUGAACCAUUUUCAAUCCUUCCUGCUCCUGAAGUCCUGAAGCAUGACCGAGCACGCUGGUACUAUCAUGAGUCGCUGUUGCUGCAGUUGAGCGAUAUAAGCUGUCACUUCAUUCUAAUCAACUAAGGUCGUUGACUUUUUAUUCGUCCUCGUCUAAUUUCUCCAUUUGGCAGCUUUGGGUUUGCUCUUGGUUGGGUGCCAACUGCCAAUGACUUGACAAGUUGACAUUGUAUGGUCAAAGCCCAAUGGGGGAGUGAGCUUUAUCACUUGUGUAACGAUUAACAAAUUUCUUAAAAUCAUUCCCGUGGUAGAAUCUCGAGCGAAACCAACACUGGCUCCUUUUGAAACAAAGGAAUUUUACAUGUUCAUAGGAAUUUGAUUCGAUUCACACAAAUCCUACUCCAGAUUCCUUUGUUUCAAAAGGAAUUCACUUCAUCACCUUGCAGGUGCAAAAGAGUACCCCUCCAAUGAUCUCAAGCAACACGAUGUGCAAAAUCUAGACCGUUCCACUUGAUUAUCCAUAUAGCAACCUUUUUGCAAAUGCAUCAUUAACAAAAGCUAAUCAACGGAGCUACGAAACGGCUAAUAAAAACAUAUGCAAGGACAAUCAUAUUACUCCUAAUCAAGAGGAUAUUUAUAGUAAACUAAAUUACACCUUGUAUACAUACUACUAUACGGUACAGUACGUCGCUGUAGCUUCUCUCCAUCCAUCCAUCGAAAUCUCCACUCCAUCCAUCCAUCGAAAUCUCCAGUAAUCCGAAACCCAUCAACCUCACCACCAAGAGUUGAUAACCCGAUAAUCAUCGCGGCGCCAGUAUUCGUCACGCAUCUCGUUUUCUCUUUAUUUGUUUCUUCUUUCGCUUUUUUUUUUAGCAUUUAACUAUUCGCCAUUUUUAAGAUGUGACAAUUAAAAAUUUAGUUAUCAUGUUUCUAUGACAUAAAGAUCUAAUGAUAAAUCAUUUAUCACUAAUUGUAAGAGUGGUAAAUAGUUAAUUAUUUCUUUUUCUUCCCCUCUCAAAUCUCGUUUUCUUCUCUUUCCUUUUCUUUUUUCCCUUCUUUUUUUCUUUUCAUCUCAAAGCAGAGAGCAUCUCAUCUCAUCGAUCGAUCUCGAUCCAUUUCCGUUUGCUUCUUCUCCUCUCCUCUCCAAGAAGAGGCGAGCUCGCCUCCUCCUCCUCUCGACGCGAGCGGCGAUGCGUGCGGGCGACAUGCCGGGGCGGGGGGCUCGCCGUCGCCCGGAUCUCACCCUCCCGAUGCCGCAGCGCGACGCGCCGACGUCGCUCGCCGUGCCGCUCCCGCUCCCGCCGGCGGCGACGACGACGACGUCCGCGCCUCCCGCGGGAGGGGCGAUGCACCCACUGGCGUCGGCGGGGGCCGCGCCGCCGCCGCCGCUGGAGGAGCUGGAACGGGUGAGGCGGGUGGGGAGCGGGGCAGGGGGGACGGUGUGGAUGGUGCGCCACCGCGGCACGGGCAAGGAGUACGCGCUCAAGGUGCUCUACGGCAACCACGACGACGCGGUGCGGCGCCAGAUCGCGCGCGAGAUCGCCAUCCUCCGCACCGCCGAGCACCCGGCGGUGGUGCGGUGCCACGACAUGUACGAGCGCGGCGGCGAGCUGCAGAUCCUGCUCGAGUACAUGGACGGCGGGUCCCUCGACGGCCGCCGCAUCGCCGACGAGCGGUUCCUCGCCGACGUCGCGCGCCAGGUGCUCUCCGGGAUCGCCUACCUCCACCGCCGCCACAUCGUCCACCGCGACAUCAAGCCGUCCAACCUCCUCAUCGACUCCGCGCGCCGCGUCAAGAUCGCCGACUUCGGCGUCGGCCGCAUCCUCAACCAGACCAUGGAUCCCUGCAACUCCUCCGUCGGCACCAUCGCCUACAUGAGCCCCGAGCGCAUCAACACCGACCUCAACGACGGCGCCUACGAUGGCUACGCCGGCGACAUCUGGAGCUUCGGCCUCAGCAUCCUAGAGUUUUACAUGGGAAAAUUCCCCUUCGGUGAGAAUCUUGGCAAGCAGGGUGACUGGGCCGCGCUCAUGUGCGCCAUCUGCUAUUCCGACCCUCCCGAGCCGCCCGCCGCCGUCUCGCCGGAGUUCAGAAGCUUCGUCGGCUACUGCCUUCAGAAGAAUCCGGCGAAGCGGCCGUCCGCCGCGCAGCUGAUGCAGCACCCGUUCGUCGCCGGACCGCAGCCACAGCCACUCGCCGCCCCGCCGCCAUCGUCGUGACUGCCAAUUCCAUCCGGUCAUCGUGUCAAACUCCAUUUCCAUCUCAUCAAGUUCUUCAUAGCCAAUCCAUUUUCGAGUGUUCUUCAAACACCAUGAUCGUUUUCAUCCAUUGCUGCUGCCCCAACUCAAGGUUCUUCCUCUCUACUGUUCUUUGAUGUUGUUUUAUUCACAAUGAUGAUCAAAUAUUGAGUAAAUCUGGUUUGUACAAAGGAUUUUUUUUUCUACGAGAUCAAGUACAGACAUAAUCCCACUUGUUAGCCAAUUUGCCAUAAAAUUCCCUUAGAAACGAAAAUUUCCACUGUACAAGUAGCAGAUUUUUUUUACUCCAUUUCCACGAUAUUUUGCUUGUUAGUGGUAAGCUGCUUAAUGAUGAUAGUGUGCAAGUUGCCACUCUUCAAAGUGGUUCUUUGGAUUCUACUAUGUGUUCUCUUGCCUAAUUGGGUUCUAUAUUGAGAUUACUUUCUCUA
Molecule: RNA transcript, 4165 nt
Organism: Oryza sativa Japonica Group (Japanese rice)
Lineage: Eukaryota; Viridiplantae; Streptophyta; Magnoliopsida; Poales; Poaceae
Gene name: DNA-dependent metalloprotease WSS1
Source: RefSeq, a predicted model, not a curated record